Molecule: ribosomal RNA, 435 nt
Filed under: Tretogonia sp. U42
Lineage: Eukaryota; Metazoa; Arthropoda; Insecta; Hemiptera; Cicadellidae
Description: partial large subunit ribosomal RNA
Source: RNAcentral
UUCUGCCCUAUGAUUAGUUAAAUGGCUGCAGUAUUCUGACUGUGCAAAGGUAGCAUAAUAAUUAGUCUUUUAAUUGAAGGCUUGUAUGAAUGAAUAGAUGGGGGAUUUAUUUUAUUUUUUAUAAUUUUAUAAUUUGAUUAUUAAGUAAGAAAUCUUAUUCUAUUAUCUGGGACGAUAAGACCCUAUAGAACUUUAUAUUUAUUUAGUUAAGUUAGUUUAUUAGUUUUUAAAAAUUUUGUAAUUAGUAAUUAUUUUACUGGGGCGGUAGAUAAAUUUGACUUUAUUUUAAUUAUUCAUUAAUUAGUGUUUUUGUUGAUCCAAUUAUGAUUAUAAGAUAAGUUACCUUAGGGAUAACAGCGUAAUUUUAAUGGGGAGUUCUUAUUUAUAUUAAAGUUUGCGACCUCGAUGUUGAAUUAAGAUUAUAAUAAGGGGUAG